Long non-coding RNA from Sinocyclocheilus rhinocerous, 369 nucleotides. RefSeq lists it as uncharacterized. NCBI's taxonomy places the organism in Eukaryota, Metazoa, Chordata, Actinopteri, Cypriniformes, Cyprinidae. The transcript has 4 exons. The record is from RefSeq and is a predicted model, not a curated record.
AAACGCUCCCAGUCCGAGCUGAAGCGGUAGUCUCUGGGGAACAGGGUUCUCUGUACUCUGACCUCUAGAUGCAUUGAUAGUUCUGUUAAUGCUACGGGAAUAUGCGCACUCAUGCAUUAGGAGAAACAAACUUACACCGGUGUGGAACAACAGGUUUGGAACACAAGGAGAUCCAAUGAAAGAAGAAAAAACUUCAGAGUGGGACGUUUUUAUCAGGAAUUGAUUGAAUUGUGAAAAAUAAACAACACCCAAAGGGAGGAGAACAUACAGACCUCUAUGAAUGUCAUGUGUUUGAAUUCUCAGGAAAUGUGUAGGCACAGAUCUCAUGUGGGAAAACAGGUGAAGAAAAGCCAAAUGAGUGUGCUUAAC